UAGCGUAUAUUUAAGUUGUUGCAGUUAAAAAGCUCGUAGUUGGAUUUCGGUUAAGAGCGACCGGUCCGCCGUUUGGUGUGCACUGGUUGGUUUUAACUUCCUGUAGAGGACGUGCUCUGGGCUUAACGGUCUGGACUCGGAGUCUACGUGGUUACUUUGAAAAAAUUAGAGUGUUCAAAGCGGGCUUACGCUUGAAUAUUUCAGCAUGGAAUAACGCUAUAGGACUCCUGUCCUAUUUCGUUGGUCUCGGGACGGGAGUAAUGAUUAAGAGGAACAGUUGGGGGCAUUCGUAUUUCAUUGUCAGAGGUGAAAUUCUUGGAUUUAUGAAAGACGAACUUCUGCGAAAGCAUUUGCCAAGGAUGUUUUCAUUAAUCAAGAACGAAAGUUGGGGGCUCGAAGAUGAUUAGAUACCAUCCUAGUCACAGCCAUAAACGAUGCCGACUAGGGAUUGGCGGAUGUUAAUUGAUGACUCCGCCAGCACCUUAUGAGAAAUCAAAGUUUUUGGGUUCCGGGGGGAGUAUGGUCGCAAGGCUGAAACUUAAAGGAAUUG
This 550-nucleotide ribosomal RNA is filed under the name uncultured Chlorophyta. RNAcentral's name for it is "SSU rRNA". It matches the Rfam family "Eukaryotic small subunit ribosomal RNA", at positions 595 to 1155 of the family's 1831-position model. The record is from RNAcentral. Lineage: Eukaryota; Viridiplantae; Chlorophyta.